This 361-nucleotide ribosomal RNA is filed under the name uncultured Prevotella sp. RNAcentral describes it as "bacterial SSU rRNA". It matches the Rfam family "Bacterial small subunit ribosomal RNA", at positions 355 to 712 of the family's 1533-position model. The record is from RNAcentral. Lineage: Bacteria; Pseudomonadati; Bacteroidota; Bacteroidia; Bacteroidales; Prevotellaceae.
UGAGGAAUAUUGGGUCAAUGGGCGGAAGCCUGAACCAGCCAAGUAGCGUGCAGGACGACGGCCCUAUGGGUUGUAAACUGCUUUUAUGCGGGGAUAAAGUGGGCCACGCGUGGCCUUUGCAGGUACCGCAUGAAUAAGGACCGGCUAAUUCCGUGCCAGCAGCCGCGGUAAUACGGAAGGUCCGGGCGUUAUCCGGAUUUAUUGGGUUUAAAGGGAGCGUAGGCCGCCCCUUAAGCGUGUUGUGAAAUGCCGCGGCUCAACCGUGGCACUGCAGCGCGAACGUGGGGGGCUUGAGUGCACGCAACGCAGGCGGAAUUCGUGGUGUAGCGGUGAAGUGCUUAGAUAUCACGAAGAACUCCGA